Molecule: ribosomal RNA, 496 nt
Filed under: uncultured bacterium
Lineage: Bacteria
Description: bacterial SSU rRNA
Rfam family: Bacterial small subunit ribosomal RNA
Source: RNAcentral
AUUGAACGCUGGCGGCGUGCUUAACACAUGCAAGUCGAACGCGAAAGUGGCUUCGGCCACGAGUAGAGUGGCGCACGGGUGAGUAACGCGUGGAUAAUCUGCCUCUGCAAUCGGAAUAACGACUGGAAACGGUCGCUAAUACCGGAUACGCUUAAGUUUUACCUCUUAAGGAAAGAUGACCUCUAUUUAUAAGUUAUCGUGCAGAGAUGAGUCCGCGUCCCAUUAGCUUGUUGGCGGGGUAACGGCCCACCAAGGCGACGAUGGGUAGCCGAUUUAAGAGGAUGAUCGGCCACAUUGGAACUGAAACACGGUCCAAACUCCUACGGGAGGCAGCAGUGGGGAAUAUUGCGCAAUGGGCGAAAGCCUGACGCAGCGACGCCGCGUGAGGGAUGAAGGUCUUCGGAUCGUAAACCUCUGUCAGAAGGGAAAAAUGUACAGUGCCCCAAUCAACACUGUAUUGAUGGUACCUUCAGAGGAAGCACCGGCUAACUCCGUG